Molecule: long non-coding RNA, 504 nt
Organism: Macadamia integrifolia
Lineage: Eukaryota; Viridiplantae; Streptophyta; Magnoliopsida; Proteales; Proteaceae
Exons: 4
Source: RefSeq, a predicted model, not a curated record
UUCUACCCCCUCUCUCUUUCUCGCUAAUCGCUAUGCAUCAGCCGCUCCACCAUCUCCUUUCUAGCAUCUCAUCUGUCGGGGUUUCCAUUGCCGCAAAAUCAAGCAUGUUGGAAAACCAGAGCAGCCGCAACCAUGGUCAGAAAGCUACCAAAGGGAAAGGGAAUUGUCGAGAUGGCCGUAGGCUACAAUUAAUAUAAGCAAGACAUGAAUACAGCAACAAUGCAACACUACAAGGAUGCUAUCUCUUCCAAUUCAAUUCCUGAUUUCCGAAGAGGAUCAAUUGGGCGAUGCUUUUCAUUGGAUUAGGCAAGUUAUAGGCCUUGUAUGUGGGUUGUUGUGGGGUGCUUCCCCUUUCGUUGGAGCUAUAUGGAUUGUCAUGUAAGUUCAAAUAUACAGACAUUUCACAAUACCAUUGUAUUGAAUAUGCCUCUUUUCAAACUAGAUAUACUCUGCCUUUGUCUUUAAAAUAUUUUCAGAUUUCAUGGAUUAUGCACAAAACUUCAU